AUUGCGCAUGUUUUCACGGACGUGAGUAUACAGUAUACGUAUAACACAACUACCGUUAAAUAAAAUUCGAUAAUUUGAAAUAUAGUAAAAAAUAAUACAUACCAAAUUUAAGUUUUGAUAAAAAUAUUAUUCUUUUAUGCAUAAAAUAAUAGAAUAAAUUGUUAUGAAUUUAAAUAUUUAAUACUUAAUCGUAUGAUAUAAAGGUUAUAUCCCUCUGUAUAUUUUCAGAUUAUCUCAAUUAUUUACUUGCUCGAUUAUUUUGAGUAAUAGAAAGAAAAAUACGUUUGUUUGACUUAAGAUUUUAUUCUAAAUUGGCUUAAAAUGGUAUGUAUACCAUGUGUAGCUAUACCAAUAUUACUCAUUAUAUGGAGAUUCUUGAUACAGCCAUUAUUUAUAAAAUGGUGGCAGUUCAGAAACAAACAAGUAGAAUUAACAAAUAAUGAACAACCCCCGCAACUUGUAAAGGAAUGUAAAAAUGGAGUUUGUACAUUAUCAUGGACAAAAAAUCAAGAUGAAAAUUCCAUGAAAAAGCAUUGAAAUGAAACUUGUCUGUAAACACAAUUAUUCCGAAUAUAAUUUAUUGUAUAAUAUUAAACUUUAUAUUUGUUUACAACUUUUUAAAUAACCAUAAGUAUAUUAUGCAUAUACAUAAUAUACAUCUUGUGCAAAGUAUUUAUUAUAUUUAGGAUGUUCGUGUUAUUACGCGAAAUUCAUGGGAGAUUUAAAAAGUUUGUUCAAAUUAUUGUGUUACCUAUAUAAAAGAUAAUAAAAUUUUAUCCUCUUCUGCUUUUCUCGCAAAUCUAUUACUAAUAAUAAUUACUGAUACUAAUACUAGAAACAAAUAGCUCGUCAUCUUGUAUAUCAAUAACAUAUAGUUAUAUGAAAAUGUAAUUUUACUUUGUAUUCCAACACAGUUAUUUAUGUAUUCUUAUGUUGUAUUUUCAAGAAAAUUGAAGUUUUGUAAGAUAAUGAAAAAGGGUAUUACAUUUAUUAGUUUAAAAUACAUUAUACAUCACUUAACAAUACUUAAAUAUUCAUAAAAGUUUAAUGUACAUUCCGAAGUUCCACUUCAAACAUCAGUGUACUAUUACCAGGAAUAACAGGUGGCGAGCCUUUUGCUCCAUACCUAUAACAAACAUGUAAAACGUAAUAUGAAUAAUAUAUUUAAAUUUAGUUCACACAUAAAUGAAUGAUACAUACGCCAUA
Bombus impatiens (common eastern bumble bee) is the source of this 1206-nucleotide long non-coding RNA. RefSeq lists it as uncharacterized. The transcript is spliced from 2 exons. The record is from RefSeq and is a predicted model, not a curated record. NCBI's taxonomy places the organism in Eukaryota, Metazoa, Arthropoda, Insecta, Hymenoptera, Apidae.